This is a long non-coding RNA of Cynoglossus semilaevis (tongue sole), 349 nucleotides long. RefSeq lists it as uncharacterized. The record is from RefSeq and is a predicted model, not a curated record. NCBI's taxonomy places the organism in Eukaryota, Metazoa, Chordata, Actinopteri, Pleuronectiformes, Cynoglossidae. The transcript has 3 exons.
UGUUGUUAAGUUUAUAUCAAUACCAUUAUUAACUAUGUCCUAAUUGCAAUGCAGCAGUGUACCAAGAAAUCACACAGACAUUAAAAUCUUCUUUAAAACUCCUCAGGUUGACUGCUUCGAUCAUCAUUUCAGCGGCUCCCACGAGCUCAUUGGAAGCUUUAAAACAACACUGGCCGAGAUGCAAGCUGGAACACACGUUUCUCCAGCUGAAUUUGAGUGCAUCAACCCCAAAAAGUCGAAGAAGAAAAAAUAUAAGAACUCUGGUGUUAUUUGCAUCAGACGCUGCCAGCUUAUAAAAGAGUUCACCUUUCUGGACUAUAUCAUGGGAGGUUGUCAGCUGAACUUUACU